UACGUAGGGUGCGAGCGUUAAUCGGAAUUACUGGGCGUAAAGCGUGCGCAGGCGGUUCGUGAUGUCUGGUGUGAAAGCCCCGGGCUUAACCUGGGAAUUGCAUUGGAAACUAGCGGGCUGGAGUGUGGCAGAGGGGGGUGGAAUUCCACGUGUAGCAGUGAAAUGCGUAGAGAUGUGGAGGAACACCAGUGGCGAAGGCGACUUUCUGGCCUGUAACUGACGCUGAGGCGCGAAAGCGUGGGGAGCAAACAGG
Molecule: ribosomal RNA, 253 nt
Filed under: uncultured bacterium
Lineage: Bacteria
Description: partial 16S ribosomal RNA
Rfam family: Bacterial small subunit ribosomal RNA
Source: RNAcentral